Molecule: ribosomal RNA, 433 nt
Filed under: uncultured bacterium
Lineage: Bacteria
Description: partial 16S ribosomal RNA
Rfam family: Bacterial small subunit ribosomal RNA
Source: RNAcentral
AGCGAACGCUGGCGGCAGGCUUAACACAUGCCAGUCGAGCGGGCACUUCGGUGUCAGCGGCAGACGGGUGAGUAACACGUGGGAACGUACCCUUUGGUUCGGAAUAACGCUGGGAAACUAGCGCUAAUACCGGAUACGCCCUUUUGGCGAAAGGCUUGCUGCCGAAGGAUCGGCCCGCGUCUGAUUAGCUAGUUGGUGGGGUAAUGGCCUACCAAGGCGACGAUCAGUAGCUGGUCUGAGAGGAUGAUCAGUCACACUGGGACUGAGACACGGCCCAGACUCCUACGGGAGGCAGCAGUGGGGAAUAUUGGACAAUGGGCGCAAGCCUGAUCCAGCCAUGCCGCGUGAGUGAUGAAGGCCUUAGGGUUGUAAAGCUCUUUUGUCCGGGACGAUAAUGACGGUACCGGAAGAAUAAGCCCCGGCUAACUUCGUG